RNAcentral lists this transfer RNA (72 nucleotides) under Shimia thalassica. RNAcentral describes it as "tRNA-Leu". It matches the Rfam family "tRNA". Rfam says of the family: Transfer RNA (tRNA) molecules are approximately 80 nucleotides in length. Their secondary structure includes four short double-helical elements and three loops (D, anti-codon, and T loops). The record is from RNAcentral. Lineage: Bacteria; Pseudomonadati; Pseudomonadota; Alphaproteobacteria; Rhodobacterales; Roseobacteraceae.
AGGGUGUAGCGCAGUGGUUAGCGCACUCGCUUGAGGAGCAAGGGGUCGCGGGUUCGAGUCCCGCCACCUUCG